This 513-nucleotide ribosomal RNA is filed under the name uncultured bacterium. RNAcentral's name for it is "partial 16S ribosomal RNA". It matches the Rfam family "Bacterial small subunit ribosomal RNA", at positions 28 to 507 of the family's 1533-position model. The record is from RNAcentral.
GACGAACGCUGGCGGCGUGCUUAACACAUGCAAGUCGAACGAAAAGAGGGAAAGAGCUUGCUCUUUCCGGAAUUGAGUGGCAAACGGGUGAGUAACACGUAAACAACCUGCCUUCAGGAUGGGGACAACAGACGGAAACGACUGCUAAUACCGAAUAAGUUCCAAGGGCCGCAUGGCCCAUGGAAGAAAAGGUGGCCUCUACCUGUAAGCUAUCGCCUGAAGAGGGGUUUGCGUCUGAUUAGCUGGUUGGAGGGGUAACGGCCCACCAAGGCGACGAUCAGUAGCCGGUCUGAGAGGAUGAACGGCCACACUGGGACUGAGACACGGUCCAGACUCCUACGGGAGGCAGCAGUGGGGAAUCUUCCGCAAUGGGCGAAAGCCUGACGGGGCAACGCCGCGUGAGUGAUGACGGCCUUCGGGUUGUAAAACUCUGUGAUCCGGGACGAAAAGGCAGAGUGCGAAGAACAAACUGCAUUGACGGUACCGGAAAAGCAAGCCACGGCUAACUACGUG